Molecule: non-coding RNA, 332 nt
Organism: Aegilops tauschii subsp. strangulata
Lineage: Eukaryota; Viridiplantae; Streptophyta; Magnoliopsida; Poales; Poaceae
Source: RefSeq, a predicted model, not a curated record
AGAGGAAGUUUGUGUUUGAUCUUAUGGAGGACAAAACUAUGCUGCUUUGCCUUAUGGUGUUGGUGCUGCUAGGAAAUCCCACUCACGCUGAGCAUUGCAAAGGGCACAGUCACCAUUGCAAGCGCAGGUUGUGCAUGGGUUUCACAUGUCAUUCGUGUUGCAAGCAUGUGUGGAACCAUGUCAAGAAAGCCUACUGCGGCGGCACUUUUUUUAACCAUCAUUGUGUUUGCGUCGUUUGCGAAUAGAGUUGCGCUCUAGCAUCAUGCCAAAGAAUGGACAAUGUUGUCUAGUAAUAAAUUCUUCUUGUGAUCUGCAUGCAAGAACCUUGAUCA